RNAcentral lists this transfer RNA (83 nucleotides) under Schistocephalus solidus. It matches the Rfam family "tRNA". From Rfam's summary of the family: Transfer RNA (tRNA) molecules are approximately 80 nucleotides in length. Their secondary structure includes four short double-helical elements and three loops (D, anti-codon, and T loops). Lineage: Eukaryota; Metazoa; Platyhelminthes; Cestoda; Diphyllobothriidea; Diphyllobothriidae. The record is from Rfam by way of RNAcentral.
GGCCUCGUAGCUCAGUUGGCCAGAGCGUUGGCUGUACUAAAGCCUUCCCCUUGCUUGUGUGGGUUCAAAUCCAACCGAGGCCG